ACGUAGGUGGCGAGCGUUACUCGGAUUUACUAGGCGUAAAGCGUGUGUAGGCGGGAGCUUAAGUUCGUUGUUAAAUUCCAGAGCUCAACUCUGGACUGUCGACGAAUACUGGGUUUCUUGAGUGAGGUAGGGGAAACUGGAAUUCCAGGUGUAGCGGUGAAAUGCGUAGAUAUCUGGAAGAACGCCAAAGGCGAAGGCAGGUUUCUGGGCCUUUACUGACGCUGAGACACGAAAGCUAGGGGAGCAAACAG
Molecule: ribosomal RNA, 251 nt
Filed under: uncultured prokaryote
Description: partial 16S rRNA
Rfam family: Bacterial small subunit ribosomal RNA
Source: RNAcentral